UGGGGAAUAUUGGACAAUGGGCGCAAGCCUGAUCCAGCCAUGCCGCGUGUGUGAAGAAGGCCUUCGGGUUGUAAAGCACUUUCAGUGGGGAGGAAAGCCGCGCGCUUAAUACGGGCGCGGUGUGACGUUACCCACAGAAGAAGCACCGGCUAACUCCGUGCCAGCAGCCGCGGUAAUACGGAGGGUGCGAGCGUUAAUCGGAAUCACUGGGCGUAAAGCGCAUGCAGGCGGUGACUCAAGUCAGAUGUGAAAGCCCCGGGCUUAACCUGGGAGUUGCAUUUGAAACUGGGUCGCUGGAGUCUGGUAGAGGGGGGUAGAAUUCCAGGUGUAGCGGUGAAAUGCGUAGAGAUCUGGAGGAAUACCGGUGGCGAAGGCGGCCCCCUGGACCAAGACUGACGCUCAGAUGCGAAAGCGUGGGGAGCAAACAGGAUUAGAUACCCCCGUAGUCC
Molecule: ribosomal RNA, 449 nt
Filed under: uncultured prokaryote
Description: bacterial SSU rRNA
Rfam family: Bacterial small subunit ribosomal RNA
Source: RNAcentral